Molecule: long non-coding RNA, 2790 nt
Organism: Conger conger (European conger)
Lineage: Eukaryota; Metazoa; Chordata; Actinopteri; Anguilliformes; Congridae
Exons: 3
Source: RefSeq, a predicted model, not a curated record
UUGUUACGGCACUUGUAGCUUGUAGCAUCCUGCUAUUUAGUUUGAACACCAAAAGACCCGAACUCUGAUCAUUUGUAAUGUGUAUUUCCCAUUUCCCCCCAAUUUCAUGAGCAUGGAACAUAGCUCAUUACCUGCGGUGUUUAUUUUAUACGGUGUUCACCGUGUCCUUUGCUUAUUGUUUCCCGUCUCCUCCACCGACGGCACCUCUGACUGCACUCUCACCCUUCUGCAGGAGCUCUACGGAGAGGUGCGCUCCACCUCCGGCAGGGAGCUCUCAAUGCAGACUGUGUAGGGCAUGCUGUCCCAGGUGGCAUUGGGCCAGCAGGUCCUGUCGGGUCUGCUGGAGAGUGGGAUCCCGGUGCUGGGCAACAUCAUCUCAGGGGGCGUCUCCUUCAUGGCCUCGUACAGCCAAUCUGGAGCUGGAGCAUAUAAAGUGCUCACUGAGUGUAUAAGAAUAAAAACAACAAGACUCUCAAUGCCUAGUAUGGAAUGAUAAUGAAUGAUUUCACAGGUUCAAACCGAUCUUUCAUUACUUUAUGAAACAAAUAUUUUCAGGAAAUCUAACGGUCAAACGCAUCAAUCCGGUACACUUUGGGAGGCUUCACAUUCGGGCUACAGAUGGCUUUAUUCAUUGAUCCUGGAAAUACUGUUUAAACCAUUGUAACCUUAUUCUGGGGGUGUCCCCUGUCACCAGGAAGCAGGGAGAACGGGGCAGAGCACACCACAGAAAUACGUUAGACACUAGGGUAGAAAGCUUCAGCAGAAGCCUAAAAAUCACAAACUACAGAGCUCUGGAUGGGGCAGACGACGCCCGAGAGGACGUUCCGGAUCCAGGAUAUUUUUAUGCGGACUAAGGGAGCCAAAUGUGACCCCGGGGAUUAGGCUGGGUGAUGCUGGGAGGGGAAACCUACAGAGGACUAUGUAUUAAAACUGCAAAUGGGAUGCGGAUUGAAUUAGCCCUGCACAUUGUUGUACAGCAAUAAAUGAUCAUGAACACAGACAUUUUCCAGCGUCGACUUUGUCUUUGGUCAUCCGGCAUUUGAUGUCACUGAGGCAGUUAAAAAGUGUUUUCAAAGAGACUUUUGUUGUUUGGCUUCAGUGCUACAUGCUGUACAUACAGUAGUACAUGUAGUCCAACCACUUUCACUGGUCUUUUCUUUUCUGACUCUGGCCCGUGGAACCAGUUCUGUCAGCAAAAGGUCAAAGCAAGAAUGUGGCUUUUGUAUCUGUUUCCUCUUGUGAUGUCAUUGUGGAUAGGGCUGUCAGACUACUGGAGUAGGGAAAAAACUUUUGUUGUAAUUGUAAAAAAAAAAAGGAAAAAAGAUCAAUACAAGUACAAUAGUGCUAAGACAGGCUGCCGAACUGAAACUGAACUGUUUUUCAUGACUUUUUCUUUACAGACUACAAGUUACAUCACAACAAAACAGAGACAAGGACACAACAACAUAGUCUCCAAAAGCCAGAGAAAAGAGGCUGCAGUAACAAGGUACAAGGAAAUGCCUUACCUGUUGGUGGUUCGUGUUCCUCCCUGUUUCGGUAUGCAAGUUCCUGUUUGACUUCAAGGUCGCCAUAGAUGACACGAUAGUACACGUGCAUAGCCUAUUGAGGUAUUUAUUUUAAUCUAUCUUCUUUACGGUAUGAGUAGGAAAGCAUUUAGCUUCCAAGGUAAUGUUGUUGUUAAAAUGCGCUACAAUAUUGUGUUUUCCAGAACGCCACACUGCCUGUGCACUAACAAAUGUUUUUCUGCCAUUACAGGACAUUGCUAGCUGCUGUUUUGCUGACAUUAGGGGUGUUAGGGGCGACAUGGCUCAGGCAGUAAGAGCAGUCGUCUGGCAGCCCGUUCGAUCCCCUGCCCGGGCUGUGUUGAAGUGUCCCUGAGCAAGACACCUAACCCCCAAAUGUGUGUGUAUGAAUGGGUGAAUGAGAAGCAUCAAUUGUACAGCACAUUGGAUAAAGGCGCUAUAUAAAUGCCAACCAUUUAUUAGAAAUUUGUGUGUAUCGUGUAGGCUCAUUAAAGAGCUGAGGAACGUGGAUAGCGGGGCGCCAGUUCUAUUAAUACGCCGGUAAUGGCUACGUGGAGCGUUUGUGUUUUUAAACCUUUUCCCUGGGAUUCCAUAUUUAUUUCUAGUUUUAAUAUUCGUACUAUUGACAAACCAACUGUUGAUCGAGUUGGGGCUUUGGGGCGGCUUACUGUUUACGUUUUGUGGUGGCCCGAUCAGGAAUCGGUACACCACUGGAGUGGAACGGCCCGUGCGCCGGCGCCAAGCACUGGGAAAGGUCUUUAAUCACGUGUAUUUCCCCUGUUCGUAUCUAGCAGAGCCGCACCGAGGAGAGAGAGCCGGCGGGGAGAAUCAGCACCAUGGCCAGCGACACGGAGAAAAGACGCGUGAGGAAUGUGAGCUAGGAAUGAAUUAACAUUUCUAAUUGGACAGGCGCAGCCGGACUGACUCCAAGGAGGAACGAGAGGCCCUACAAAAGACGGGGCGCAACCACAGAGCGGGGCUGAGUACGGAGGGAGACGGAGGAAAAGCCCAGUGAGUUGGAAAAAACAGCAAUUAGAAACAAGCAACGACACCACGGUGGAACCGCGGGUCUUCGGAGGCCCUACCGAAAGGCGAAGGCGGAACGGACCACCCACAGUCACCGACGGACCGGUGUACCUAAUUUUUUGGCCGGUUAUUUUUUUUCCCGUUUUUGAGAAAACUGUUUGGUUGGAACUUUGUGAAAGUGCCCUGAAGGCACGUGGGAAAAUAAUUAAAACCUUAUUUUUGAUCUACUCUUGCUCUCUCU